This 245-nucleotide ribosomal RNA is filed under the name uncultured bacterium. RNAcentral's name for it is "partial 16S ribosomal RNA". It matches the Rfam family "Bacterial small subunit ribosomal RNA", at positions 524 to 768 of the family's 1533-position model. The record is from RNAcentral.
GACGAACCACACAAACGUUAUUCGGAAUUACUGGGCUUAAAGGGUGCGUAGGCGGCGCGGAAAGUUGGGUGUGAAAUCCCUCGGCUCAACCGAGGAACUGCGCCCAAAACUACCGUGCUCGAGGGAGAUAGAGGUGAGCGGAACUUAGGGUGGAGCGGUGAAAUGCGUUGAUAUCCUAAGGAACACCCGUGGCGAAAGCGGCUCACUGGGUCUCUUCUGACGCUGAGGCACGAAAGCUAGGGUAG